This 426-nucleotide ribosomal RNA is filed under the name uncultured bacterium. Its description in RNAcentral is "bacterial SSU rRNA". It matches the Rfam family "Bacterial small subunit ribosomal RNA", at positions 356 to 773 of the family's 1533-position model. The record is from RNAcentral.
GAGGAAUUUUGCGCAAUGGCCGCAAGGCUGACGCAGCAACGCCGCGUGGGUGAAGAAGGCCUUCGGGUCGUAAAGCCCUGUCAGGUGGGAAGAACGACACGGGGAGGAAUAUGCUCUGUGAGUGACGGUACCACCAGAGGAAGCACCGGCUAACUCCGUGCCAGCAGCCGCGGUAAUACGGAGGGUGCGAGCGUUAUUCGGAAUUACUGGGCGUAAAGCGCGUGUAGGCGGCCAACCAAGUCUGAUGUGAAAGCCCUGGGCUUAACCUGGGAAGUGCAUUGGAAACUGGCUGGCUUGAGUACUGGAGAGGAAGGGGGAAUUCCCGGUGUAGAGGUGAAAUUCGUAGAGAUCGGGAGGAAUACCAGUGGCGAAGGCGCCCUUCUGGACGGUUACUGACGCUGAGACGCGAAAGCGUGGGGAGCAAAC